Transfer RNA from Ovis aries (sheep), 72 nucleotides. It matches the Rfam family "tRNA". Rfam says of the family: Transfer RNA (tRNA) molecules are approximately 80 nucleotides in length. The record is from Rfam. NCBI's taxonomy places the organism in Eukaryota, Metazoa, Chordata, Mammalia, Artiodactyla, Bovidae.
UCCCUGGUGUUCUAGUGGCUAAGACUCUGCACUCCCAAUGCAGGGGCCAGAGUUCAAUCCCUGGUCAGGGAG